UACAGCCAAGUUGCAUGUCCAGUACAAGGGCUGGUCAGGAAUGUGGACUUUUGCAUUCUAUGACAAUUAUCCCAUCCCCAUGCUGCUGGGGGAAGACUUGGCCAACCAUGUGAAGCUAGCCAAGAGGGUGGGAAUAGUCACCCGCAGCCAGGCUAAACAAGCUUGCACCCCCAUCCCUGUUCCUGAGCCAUCCACCAGGGCCCCAUCUGUGUUACCAGAGACCCAAACAAAGGUGGUGGAACCGGAUCCCCUGCCAACAACUGCAACAGCCGUAGUGGAUCCAAUCCCAGAGACCCAGCCAAAGCCAGUCCCAGAACCAGAACUGGCAACACAACCAGCGCCAGAACCAUUGCCAGCACUGAGUCCAGCGCUUGCAAACCCGUCUACAACUCCAACGCCAGAGGGCACCAGCGAGCCUGACCUGGCGGAAGCAGCAGAUAACCCUACCCAAGAGGCUCAGCCAGAGCCUGAGAUACCACAUAGUGCACCAGUGGACAGCGGUUCACAGUCAAUGGAAACAGCCCCAGCACCUGCAUCGCUUCCAGAGGGACCAAGCCCAAGUCCACAGUCCAAGGAGGAACUGAUGUCUCCAGCAUCAAGGGAACAGUUCCAGGCCGAGCAGGAAGCAGAUGACAGCCUUCAGAAAGCUUGGGCGGCGGCGCGGAGCACGCCAUCGCCUCUCAGCUCUUCUAACCAAUCCCGGUUUGUUGUAGAACAAGGACUUUUAUACAAGGAGACUCUUUCUGGUGGGCACCAGGAAGACUGGCAUCCUCAAAGACAGUUGGUAGUUCCCACUAAGUAUCGGGUAAAGCUCUUGAGUUUAGCCCAUGAUCAUCCCAGUGGCCAUUCUGGGGUGAACAGAACCAAAGACCGGUUGGAGAAGUCCUUCCACUGGGAGAGAAUGGGCAAGGAUGUUGCUAAUUAUGUCCGGUCUUGUGAGGUGUGCCAACGAGUGGGAAACCCCCAAGACCAGGUUAAAGCCCCUCUCCAGCCACUACCCAUAAUUGAGGUCCCAUUUCAGCAGGUAGCUGUGGAUAUUCUGGGUCCUUUCCCAAAGAAGACCCCCAGAGGAAAGGGGUACAUACUGACUUUCAUGGAUUUUGCUACCCGAUGGCCGGAAGCAGUA
This is a long non-coding RNA of Chrysemys picta bellii (western painted turtle), 1126 nucleotides long. The record is from Ensembl. Lineage: Eukaryota; Metazoa; Chordata; Testudines; Emydidae.